AAGGAAAAAUAGAGGAGGAAGGAAAGAAAACUAGCUAUUUUUCAUGAUCUGUCCUGAGAAAAUAUUUCUAAACUCACCCUACAAACUGCUGUCUAUAACACCAUUGGAGUCAAAUGGGCCCCUUUCAGACAGGGAAAUUCACAGCUGCUGGCUGUGGCAUGCAGGGCACGCAGCCAGGGACACCUAAGAGCAAGUGCUUGCCUCUCUCUCUCACCCAGAAUGAUGAUGCAGGAAUGACAAAGGGAGAUACUGGGGAAUGUCAAGUCAAACAAAUCAUAGCUCUUCUCCGGUGGCUCCUGUGACCUUGUUCUGAGGUAAGGCACACAGGCGGGAGGGACAUUCAGGAUAAGCAAUGUUUGUCAUCUGAGGCUUCUAUCUGCUCCAAACGGAACUUUAAAUCUCCCUUAUGGAGGCAUUGACAUUUAGUUUGGCACAUUUUCAGAUACUAGGGGAAAAAAAAAACAUGACUUGACAAGAAAAAAAGUCAAGUUAAUACACAGGAAAAGGAGGCCAUUAUUUCCAUAGUUCAGCAUCUAAUUUACAUAGAAGCAUGCAAACACGCGUUUUUGGACACUAGAAUUUCUAUUGUUUUAAAUUACUGUUUUUUUCUGUCACUGAGUCAAGGAAGAUAACUGUGGCUUUUACAAAUCCCAAAUCAAGUAAAAUUAGGUUCCCCAUUGCUACAUCCAGAAUCAAUCAAUCUUUCUUUCUUUCUUUCUUUCUUUCUUUCUUUCUUUCUUUCUUUCUUUCUAUCUUCCUUCCUUCCUCCCUUCCUCCAUCCCUCCCUCCCUUCCUUCUUUCCUUCCCGUGCUUAUUUUCAAUCAUAUGAGGUUUUUAUCUAAAAGUCGCUGAGUUGACCUGUCUCAUAUUAAGCUUUAUCGCCUGCAAAGAUGAAGGAGGCGGUCGUCCAGGGAAGUAUUAGCAUUCUUCUUAGGGUGGUUAUAAAUAUUAAAUUGGGCACAUGCUUAUCUGAUAAACUUUACUAUACAUAGACCAAGUUUCGAUUAGGGCAGGGGCAGGGGUAUUAUUUUAUAUGACAAACUGAUCCAGCUCUUUCCCCAAAUUAAAACAUGAGGACUCCUGAGGGACUGUGUGCACACACAUGCCUUUAAGGAGAGAGACUUUAUAAUCGAUAGGCUCGCUGAAAGUUUAUUUUUGUCCCCGUUAGAAAGAGCGUCUAAUUCUGCCCCCCCCCAACCAAUGCGCACACUUCGCUCCAGCCUGAACAUCCUGUGACUUCAGUAGUCCUGACAUUUUAAGGUGGUAUUUGAUCCUUCCAAAUCUUUGAAGAUCAUUUUUCUGCAGACUCUUCACCAUCCCACCUUUAAAGAUAAAAGGCCAGUCUGUGAAGGAGAUCAGGUCGAAGAAAGUUCAGUUUUGUAAUUCCAGCAACAGGACACUUCCCUCACUGACUGUCUCCCACAUAUCAGUUAUUUGAGACAGACUUUUUUAUUUGUUUGUUUGUUUUUCUUUUUUAGAAGAAAGAGAGGUCUGGUGUCAAAAGUGCUGCCAAACAUCCCCAAAUCACAGAGUCUCUUAACUCCGACAGGUUAAGAAAAGACAGUUUGCCUUCAUACCUUCAGCUUUCCUUAUUAACUUUGACCUCGGCCUUUUCUCAGUCAGCUGCUUACACAGGCAUUUCACACAGGAGAAGUGAAGGAAAUUCCAGAAGAAAAGCAAGCAGCAUAAAAACGACUUUUUACGGAAAGUUCAACAACCUCCAGAGAGAUCGAGUAUGGCAUGCUGAAGGAGCUGACUUCAUUUAUUAAAUGCACUUCCCGAUGUGUUAAGUAACUCGUUCUUCUAAGUGCACAGGAUUUUGUCUGGAGGAGCGACCAACUGGAUCCACUUCAACUCUGGAGAUCACUACAUGCCACCACAUACUAUAUUGUUGGCCACGAGCAGCACUGAAUCUUCACGUGUAGCUUCUUACACUGUCAUGCCCCAUAGUACCCACAGCUAAAUCUAUACUUUCCAGCAAAGAACACAAGCCUGCAAUUGCCCUUACAGUUUCAAAGCUUAGCUUUGCAGGUAAUUGGGGAAAGUUAGUUAUGUUCUCCGUGCACAAGUUAAUUCAUUCCCACUAAAACAAUUACAGCAUUGACUGUGUCAUGAGUCUGUGAGGAUUGUAUAGUUCACAUGAAGCUGCUUAGGAACAUGUAAGCAUUCAUGUGUGCAUAAUUAUACAUUACUGUACUUUUAUUUUCAUUAUUUUUAUUGUACAAAUGUAAAUUUCUUUCUUCAUAUCAUAGAGAAUUGACACAGCAACAUUAACUUGAUUUAAUUAGCUCAUAAAAUCUGGACUUGCCAAGCUGGUCAACUGAGGCCACUUUUGGGAACCCAGAGGAAGAAGGUAUCUUCUAUAUCUAUUAUAUAGUCUAUCUAUUUAUGGGGAUAAAUAGAUGUUGGUAGAAGUGGAGGUUUCUGGAAUUGUCUGAAAAUAGUUCCUAUUGCCAAACUUUUGUACAUCAAGUGUGUGUACAAGAAAGACCUCAGAAAGUCAGCACUGCUAUAGGACUGUGCACAAGCCAAGUAUCUGAAUAAUUUCUGGUGACUGGGCUUUUUCCCUGUUGAGUUCGAUGACUGUACUCCACUAGGAGAAAGGUCAUGAAGCAUGGUUCCUGCUAGGGCUGACAUUUAACAAGGAGUGAUUGAUUUGAAAGCAGGAUUGAUACUCAGAUUUAGUCUACCGGUGUUUUGCUAAAAUCCCUUUAAAAUGGGACUGUAAGUUCAUCCUCUCUUUUUCUUUCCUCUGAAUAGAUUUUUUUUUAACUAGGCCAAAAACUACCAAUAGCCAGCUCAAGUAAAACACAAGCCAAUUCAUGUCUUCAGUGUCCACCAUCUGAGUAUCUCCUAGUUAGAGGAAUGAUCACAGUUCUUAAAGUAUGAAAACACUAGUUACUGAUCGCUACCUAUCCUGAGCCCUCACUGCUAACACAGGAGCUCCAGAUGAAAUCUAAAUUUGCUAUUUCAAGCCCAUUGCUGUGUUGAUCAUUUGAGAUAAAAAUGACAUAGUUUUGAGUCUUCGGAAACUGCUCCACUUAACUCCCAAACCGUUGCUUUUGAAAAAGGCUAAUUUGGGGUUGGGUACAUUGGUGUUGCUGCCUUGUAAAACGGCAAGCUUUUUUUUAAAAAAGAAAAAGAAAGAAAAGAAAAAAAUGAAAAAAAUGGCAGCAGAGACAUUUUUUCUAGCCCAUGUCAGCACAAAAGGGUGACUCAGUUGUUUCAUCUCCCAACAGCUGCAUGCUUUCAUUGACAUUUGGUGACCUUUCUUUGUGCACCCAGCCUAACCUCUUAGGUUAUUUCCUGGCCUCCCUUCUGUGACCUAUGACCGAAGCUGACCUUUAGCUGGAGAAUGUGACAUUUUGUUCUCCUCUAGCUGACAUGUGAUGCUCUCAUUAUUCAAAGAGCCAUCUUGGGAACAGUUCCAAACUGUGGAGAACAGAAGUUUCGACUGCUUGACUGAAGUGUUAACGUCAUCCAGUCUGAGAUUUCAUAACUUUACAAACAAGAGGCCGAGGCCUCAGUGGAGUCACCAGUGGCCGUCUUAAUUACAGCAUCAACAAAUGAGCAUUUCAGCAAAAACACGCAACCUUCUUGGUGCAGGUUCAGCUAAAGUUUCUCAUUCUGAAGCUGUCGUUUCCUCUCUACUUUCACCUCCUCAUUCUUGGGAAAAAAAGUAGUUUCCCCAUUACAGUCUUUUUUUUAAAAGUAUAGUUAAAAAAUAAAAUAAUAUCUUGGGUCCUGUGGAUCUUUUCUCAUGAAUGACUUAGUUAGCUGUUUAAGCUUGUGUCAAGAUAAUAUCCUCGAAAUUUGCUGAAAUAACCAUUCUCUUUCAGGUCAUGAUGUCUGUGAUUAGUUUCAAAGAGGCUAGGGCAUAUGUCAAUGCUGUAGGAAAUGUGUUGUUUAUGCCCCAAGAAGCUGUAUCUUCUCCUGAGUGCUACCUUCCCCGUGAAGAGAUGAGUUGAUUUCUGAAUUGUAAAACAAUGCCAUAUGGGAUAUAGGUUCAACAAAUAUUUGAAUGGAAGCUUUAUACAGAGAACUCCAGUGGUGAUAAAAUAGUGAGUCCUGCACCUGGCCUUCAACAAAGAUGUGUCCUUACCAAGAGCACACUGAAAUGUCUAACUCCUGAAAGAAUGUUUUGCAAGUUUUAGAGUUUGACAAGAUAUGGUGACUCGAGCCUGCAACACCAGGUCUUGGGUGGCCAAGGUGAAAGGAUAGCUUUAAUUUCAGGGCUGACCUGAGCUAGAUAGCAGGGUUCUGUUUCAAAACAAAAGCCGUGUGGAUCCCCCACCAAAGAAAAGCCUCAAUGUAAAUCUGCUUUCAUAAUUUUAAUAACUCUAUCCAAUCAAUUCUGAUGUUCUGUUCAUAGAUGAGUUCUUAGCUUACAUAUAAAAUAUCUUUCCUGUGUCAUUUUUAUGCCUAAUUGGUGUAUAACAUCCACUGAACAUCAAAAUAAAUGUUAUAAGUCAUUG
This 4475-nucleotide small RNA is filed under the name Rattus norvegicus (Norway rat). RNAcentral's name for it is "uncharacterized LOC102556241". The record is from RNAcentral. Lineage: Eukaryota; Metazoa; Chordata; Mammalia; Rodentia; Muridae.